This is a ribosomal RNA of 436 nucleotides. It matches the Rfam family "Bacterial small subunit ribosomal RNA", at positions 341 to 792 of the family's 1533-position model.
ACGGAAGGCAGCAGUGGGGAAUAUUGGGCAAUGGGGGCAACCCUGACCCAGCAACGCCGCGUGAAGGAAGAAGGCUUUCGGGUUGUAAACUUCUUUUACCAGGGACGAAGAAAGUGACGGUACCUGGAGAAAAAGCCACGGCUAACUACGUGCCAGCAGCCGCGGUAAUACGUAGGUGGCAAGCGUUGUCCGGAUUUACUGGGUGUAAAGGGCGUGUAGGCGGAGCAGCAAGUCAGAAGUGAAAUCUAGGGGCUCAACCCCUAAACUGCUUUUGAAACUGUUGCCCUUGAGUAUCGGAGAGGCAGGCGGAAUUCCUAGUGUAGCGGUGAAAUGCGUAGAUAUUAGGAGGAACACCAGUGGCGAAGGCGGCUUACUGGACGAUAACUGACGUUGAGGCUCGAAAGCGUGGGGAGCAAACAGGAUAGAUACCCUGGUA